CCUACGGGAGGCAGCAGUGAGGAAUAUUGGUCAAUGGCCGCAGGGCUGAACCAGCCAAGUCGCGUGAGGGAUGACGGUCCUAUGGAUUGUAAACCUCUUUUGUCAGGGAGCAAAGGGCGCCACGUGUGGCGCUUUGCGAGUACCUGAAGAAAAAGCAUCGGCUAACUCCGUGCCAGCAGCCGCGGUAAUACGGAGGAUGCGAGCGUUAUCCGGAUUUAUUGGGUUUAAAGGGUGCGUAGGCGGGCUUUUAAGUCAGCGGUAAAAAUUCGGGGCUCAACCCCGUCCGGCCGUUGAAACUGGGGGCCUUGAGUGGGCGAGAAGCAGGCGGAAUGCGUGGUGUAGCGGUGAAAUGCAUAGAUAUCACGCAGAACCCCGAUUGCGAAGGCAGCCUUCCGGCGCCCUACUGACGCUGAGGCACGAAAGUGCGGGGAUCGAACAGGAUUAGAUACCCGGGUAGUC
RNAcentral lists this ribosomal RNA (459 nucleotides) under uncultured bacterium. RNAcentral's name for it is "partial 16S ribosomal RNA". It matches the Rfam family "Bacterial small subunit ribosomal RNA", at positions 338 to 795 of the family's 1533-position model. The record is from RNAcentral.